GAUGAACGCUGGCGGCGUGCCUAAUACAUGCAAGUCGAGCGAACAGGCGAGGAGCUUGCUCCACUUACGUUAGCAGCGGACGGGUGAGUAACACGUGGGUAACCUGCCUAUAAGCGGGGGACAACUUUUGGAAACCGGUGCUAAUACCGCAUAACAACUUUAACCACAUGGUUUAAUAUUGAAAGACGGAAUUGCAGUAAUCUAUAAAUAUAUCGCCGUGUAUUUAGCUGGUUGUUAAGGAAACGCCUUCCCAAGCCAACUAUCAUUACCCGACUUGAAGGGGUGAUCGGCCAAAUUGGAACUGAGACACGGUCAAGACUCCUAGGGGGGGAAGCAGUAGGGAAUCUUCGGAAAUGGGCAAAAGCCUGACGGAGCAAGGCCGCGGGAGUGAUAAGGGUCUCCGGUUCGUAAAACUCUUUUAUUGGGAAGAAAGAUGUGUGGAGUUAAAAAUGCAUCAAUUGACGGUAACUACUCAGAAAGCGACGGCUAACUACGUG
This 497-nucleotide ribosomal RNA is filed under the name uncultured bacterium. Its description in RNAcentral is "partial 16S ribosomal RNA". It matches the Rfam family "Bacterial small subunit ribosomal RNA", at positions 28 to 507 of the family's 1533-position model. The record is from RNAcentral.